RNAcentral lists this ribosomal RNA (228 nucleotides) under uncultured bacterium. RNAcentral's name for it is "partial 16S ribosomal RNA". It matches the Rfam family "Bacterial small subunit ribosomal RNA", at positions 524 to 751 of the family's 1533-position model. The record is from RNAcentral.
CACGUAGGGCGCGAGCGUUGUCCGGAAUUAUUGGGCGUAAAGAGCUCGUAGGCGGCCUGUUGCGUCCGCUGUGAAAGCCCGGGGCUUAACCCUGGGUCUGCAGUGGAUACGGGCAGGCUAGAGGUAGGUAGGGGAGAAUGGAAUUCCCGGUGUAGCGGUGAAAUGCGCAGAUAUCGGGAGGAACACCGGUGGCGAAGGCGGUUCUCUGGGCCUUACCUGACGCUGAGG